This 408-nucleotide ribosomal RNA is filed under the name Leuconostoc citreum. Its description in RNAcentral is "bacterial SSU rRNA". It matches the Rfam family "Bacterial small subunit ribosomal RNA", at positions 1025 to 1434 of the family's 1533-position model. The record is from RNAcentral. Lineage: Bacteria; Bacillati; Bacillota; Bacilli; Lactobacillales; Lactobacillaceae.
GACAAAGUGACAGGUGGUGCAUGGUCGUCGUCAGCUCGUGUCGUGAGAUGUUGGGUUAAGUCCCGCAACGAGCGCAACCCUUAUUGUUAGUUGCCAGCAUUCAGUUGGGCACUCUAGCGAGACUGCCGGUGACAAACCGGAGGAAGGCGGGGACGACGUCAGAUCAUCAUGCCCCUUAUGACCUGGGCUACACACGUGCUACAAUGGCGUAUACAACGAGUUGCCAACCUGCGAAGGUGAGCUAAUCUCUUAAAGUACGUCUCAGUUCGGACUGCAGUCUGCAACUCGACUGCACGAAGUCGGAAUCGCUAGUAAUCGCGGAUCAGCACGCCGCGGUGAAUACGUUCCCGGGUCUUGUACACACCGCCCGUCACACCAUGGGAGUUUGUAAUGCCCAAAGCCGGUGGC